RNAcentral lists this ribosomal RNA (466 nucleotides) under uncultured bacterium. RNAcentral describes it as "partial 16S ribosomal RNA". It matches the Rfam family "Bacterial small subunit ribosomal RNA", at positions 28 to 507 of the family's 1533-position model. The record is from RNAcentral.
GAUGAACGCUGGCGGCGUGCUUAACACAUGCAAGUCGAACGGAAAGGCUCCUGCUUGCAGGGGUACUCGAGUGGCGAACGGGUGAGUAACACGUGGGUGAUCUGCCCUGCACUUCGGGAUAAGCCUGGGAAACUGGGUCUAAUACCGGAUAGGACGAUGGUUUGGAUGCCAUUGUGGAAAGUUUUUUCGGUGUGGGAUGAGCUCGCGGCCUAUCAGCUUGUUGGUGGGGUAAUGGCCUACCAAGGCGUCGACGGGUAGCCGGCCUGAGAGGGUGUACGGCCACAUUGGGACUGAGAGACGGCCCAGACUCCUACGGGAGGCAGCAGUGGGGAAUAUUGCACAAUGGGCGCAAGCCUGAUGCAGCGACGCCGCGUGGGGGAUGACGGCCUUCGGGUUGUAAACUCCUUUCGCUAGGGACGAAGCGCAAGUGACGGUACCUGGAGAAGAAGCACCGGCUAACUACGUG